This 224-nucleotide ribosomal RNA is filed under the name uncultured bacterium. Its description in RNAcentral is "partial 16S ribosomal RNA". It matches the Rfam family "Bacterial small subunit ribosomal RNA", at positions 15 to 231 of the family's 1533-position model. The record is from RNAcentral.
GAUAUGGCUCAGGAUGAACGCUAGCUACAGGCUUAACACAUGCAAGUCGAGGGGCAGCAUGGUCUUAGCUUGCUAAGGCCGAUGGCGACCGGCGCACGGGUGAGUAACACGUAUCCAACCUGCCGUCUACUCUUGGACAGCCUUCUGAAAGGAAGAUUAAUACAAGAUGGCAUCAUGAGUCCGCAUGUUCACAUGAUUAAAGGUAUUCCGGUAGACGAUGGGGA